CGGACGGGUGAGUAAUGUCUGGGAAACUGCCUGAUGGAGGGGGAUAACUACUGGAAACGGUAGCUAAUACCGCAUAACGUCGCAAGACCAAAGAGGGGACCUUCGGGCCUCUUGCCAUCGGAUGUGCCCAGAUGGGAUUAGCUAGUAGGUGGGGUAACGGCCCACCUAGGCGACGAUCCCUAGCUGGUCUGAGAGGAUGACCAGCCACACUGGAACUGAGACACGGUCCAG
Molecule: ribosomal RNA, 231 nt
Filed under: uncultured bacterium
Lineage: Bacteria
Description: partial 16S ribosomal RNA
Rfam family: Bacterial small subunit ribosomal RNA
Source: RNAcentral